RNAcentral lists this ribosomal RNA (244 nucleotides) under uncultured bacterium. RNAcentral describes it as "partial 16S ribosomal RNA". It matches the Rfam family "Bacterial small subunit ribosomal RNA", at positions 533 to 776 of the family's 1533-position model. The record is from RNAcentral.
CGCAAGCGUUAUCCGGAGUUACUGGGCGUAAAGCGCGGGCAGGCGGCUCGAAACGUCUGAUGUGAAAUCUCCUCGCUCAACGGGGAGAGGCCAUUGGAAACGGUCGGGCUGGAGGGCAGUAGAGGUAGGCGGAAUUCCGGGUGGAGUGGUGAAAUGCGUAGAGAUCCGGAGGAACACCAGAGGCGAAGGCGGCCUACUGGGCUGCACCUGACGCUGAGCCGCGAAAGCCAGGGGAGCGAACGGG